Molecule: small RNA, 378 nt
Filed under: Drosophila yakuba
Lineage: Eukaryota; Metazoa; Arthropoda; Insecta; Diptera; Drosophilidae
Description: GE28217
Source: RNAcentral
ACACGUGCCUUAUUGAAUUCUACGAGUACUAUUCUAUUUCAUUCAAUUUUGUGCUUUUGGAAAUCAAAUUGGAUAUUUCAUUUGGAAAUUUUCAAAUAAAAUGCCACGACCAAGGCGUACUAAUAUUAGUCGCCGUACACGUAAUGCUUAUACUUUAAGGUCAAACAUUGCAAAGUGAGGAAGAGCGUGCACAAAUUAAUGCAGAUAGAGGAGAUCGAUAUGUACGAAAUCGAAACUGACCUAAUCGAUCUCUUGAUAGGCAGCCACCUCGAAAUCAGCCAAUGCGAGCGGGAUAUUGUCUUUUGCAGCAAACGCUCCUUGCUGCGAUAGUGCGAUUGAUUACAGUGCAUCGGGCUGUAUUGGUGGAAUGACGGUGAG